This 72-nucleotide transfer RNA is filed under the name Camelus bactrianus (Bactrian camel). It matches the Rfam family "tRNA". From Rfam's summary of the family: Transfer RNA (tRNA) molecules are approximately 80 nucleotides in length. RNAcentral also lists the same sequence under 2 other names. Lineage: Eukaryota; Metazoa; Chordata; Mammalia; Artiodactyla; Camelidae. The record is from Rfam by way of RNAcentral.
GAGAGUAUAGCUCAGUGGUAGAGUGUGUGCUUAGCAUGCAAGAGGUUUUAGGUUCAAUCCCUAGUACGUCCA